ACCGCUUCUCAGCCUUUUGGCUAAGAUCAAGUGUUGUUUGUAGAUAUUUUUAUAUGUCUAUAUAUCUUUUGAACCAGAUUUCUUGAAACCAAAUAAAAUACAACACUGGUUUUUGUUUGAAGAUUA
RNAcentral lists this small nuclear RNA (126 nucleotides) under Otolemur garnettii (small-eared galago). RNAcentral describes it as "U2 spliceosomal RNA". It matches the Rfam family "U2 spliceosomal RNA". Rfam says of the family: U2 is a small nuclear RNA (snRNA) component of the spliceosome (involved in pre-mRNA splicing). The record is from Rfam by way of RNAcentral. Lineage: Eukaryota; Metazoa; Chordata; Mammalia; Primates; Galagidae.